This is a long non-coding RNA of Aphis gossypii (cotton aphid), 2422 nucleotides long. RefSeq lists it as uncharacterized. The transcript is spliced from 3 exons. The record is from RefSeq and is a predicted model, not a curated record. Lineage: Eukaryota; Metazoa; Arthropoda; Insecta; Hemiptera; Aphididae.
UAGAAUUUAGCAUAAUAAAUGAGACACAAUGAAAAAAUUAAUAAAUUAAAAUAUUAAUUAUAAUGAUUAGAUGGAUACUAAAUUAGAAUCAGUAAUUUAUACAGUUAAACGUAUUUAUAUAGCUAUACCCAUUCCUGAUCAAUUGAUUAAUUAUUUCACUAUUACUCUUUCGUUCAACUACACUGUAGCACAUUUAUAUAACCUAUGUCCUAUAUUAAGUCCACUGUACUCUAUAUACGUAUGAUGUAGGUACUAUACUCGUAUUUAAGUAUUUUAUACAUCAGCCGGUCUUUAUGACGCGUUAGGUUAGACGCUUAUUUAUAAUUUUAUUUUUUGCAAUGUAGGCGUUGUGUGUUCCUAAAUUUAAACGCGAUGGACUUUGCUAGGCAAUAACAAUAAUUAUGUUUUUAUCUUGGAUUCGUAAUUGAUAAAUCAUUAAUCACGAAUUUGGUUAAUUUUAAAAUUAUUUUCUUCUCGUUUAUUUAGUGGUAGUGCCCGCAGUUGUACUUAUUUACUUCAUGACUUGUAUAAUUUAUUCUAUAAACACAAUUUGCACAGCCAGCACAGUGUUUUUAUCAACAAUUAUUCAACAUAUCAUAUUAUUACUAAUAUUUAUGUAAAAAAAAUUAUGAAAUAUGAUUGGAAAUACAAGAAGCUGACACACCAUUUCCGUUCAGAAUCAUUGGUUAUAUAUACUCAUAAACAAUGAUUUAUCAUUGAAUUUAUAAUUUACAUAGGUAUCCAUUACAGUGACGAUAAUCUAGUAUUACUUAUAAUUAAGUAUACGGGAAGUCUACUAUGUUUAGCAGGGUGACUUCCGCGGAUUUUUACUGUAAAUUGUUUGAUGAGGAAGGGACUCGAGGUACCUUUCAAAAUGUCAGUCCUGAGCUUAAAUGUUGAAGUUACACCACUGCUUAGCAACUUUGGUAAUCCAAAUAGACUUUAAGGCAAAAGUCACUUGUAAAAUGAAAGCAGUAUGCCUUUAGAGCACCUAAUAACGAAUGCAGUCAUGUAUGUAUUGUAUAUUUUGUUAUAAUACUUGUAGGUAAUAAUUAUUGUUAUAUUCCCCUUGAAUACAAAUUCACAAAACCCAGAUAAAAUGUAUAAAUUUAACUAUUAUUAUUAUCUUAAAUUUUUACUGCUAGUAAUAAUCGAUUAGAACGAUUUGUUAAAUCAUUAAAAUUAUUCAUAAAUUGGAUUCUAUUUGACUAUGUUUUUGUAUUCGAUAGUUCUAAUUUAUGAUCCAACCCGUCUCAUCAGAAAUGAAAGUUAAUCAAUAAAAAGUUAAAUACAUUUUUAUUUUAUUUUUCUACUGUUAUAAAAUUAUUAGAAUAUACGUAUAUAUUUAUAUCAAAAACUAAAUUACCAUUGUUAUGUCUUAAUAAUGACAUGUUUGUCCACUAUUGUACAAUAGAUAAUAUUUAGUAUAAAAGGAUCAAAAAUAUUUUAAAAAUUGAAAUAGGCUGUGGUGAGCCUAUGAGAUCGAACAUAUUAGUGCUAACAUAUUUAAAUGUUCGUAGGUAUAUCUAAAAAAAUAAAUUGAGCUAAUUUCAAAUUCGACUUAAUCUCUUCCUAUUACAGUCCUGUGGUUGGACCGAAUGCCCCAGUGGUGAGUAGUGAGUAGUAAUAGUACGUACUACAUAAACACUCUAUGUUGUGUUUCAAUUUUUCAGUUUCAACCAUCAUGACACGAUAAUAUUAUUAUUUAUUGUUUGCAUAAUAUUAUAUUAUGCACUUAUGCAUAUUAUUAUUGGCGUCGUAUUAAAAGGAACCGUUUUCUAAUUGUUUUAAAUAAGGUUCGUAUUCAUACGGUCAAAAACUAUGAUAAUAAUAUUCAGACACGCGCUCGUUUUAAGUGUCCGCAAGCGAGAUGAAUGCGGGCUUGUGCUCAGCAGCUGCAAUGUUUAUUAUAUUAAUAUUUUAUUUGUACCGUUUUGCUGGCGUUGUUCGAGUCUAGUGAGUCUACUAUAAAGACGAUAAUAAUAAUAAACAUUAUUAUUAUUAUAGUUUUGACGCAUGAACCAUGUACAUUAUAAUAAGUGACACGCACUCGCAUAACAAAACAAAAUAUGUGAUAUAAUAGAUGUUAGAUGUUAGAUUUGGUACUCAUAAUAGAUGCCUAUUUUAUCAAAUGUUCAUACUUCAUAUUAUAUGCAAACAAAAAACAAAUAAGCUAGAUAUUACGAGAUAAUAUUUAACGGCAUAUAAUACCAAUUUUUUUUAUGUUAUUCGCUAUUUAUAAAUUAUGUACGGGGCGAUUCACCAAUAAUAAUCACUCUUUGUUUUCUUAUAAUGUUUUUUUUUUUCAAAUUCUGGAAACAUCUGGAAUUUUAAGUGUACUUAUAAAUAUAUUAUAUAUUCAAAUAAAGAAAACACUUCAUAACUUUUUUCGAAAUUAAAAUAUCAACAAUAUAUCUUUCAA